GUGAGACUGAUCCAGCCAUCCCGCGUGUGCGAUGAAGGCCUUCGGGUUGUAAAGCACUUUUGGCAGGAAAGAAACGUCAUGGGCUAAUACCCCGUGAAACUGACGGUACCUGCAGAAUAAGCACCGGCUAACUACGUGCCAGCAGCCGCGGUAAUACGUAGGGUGCAAGCGUUAAUCGGAAUUACUGGGCGUAAAGCGUGCGCAGGCGGUUCGGAAAGAAAGAUGUGAAAUCCCAGAGCUUAACUUUGGAACUGCAUUUUUAACUACCGAGCUAGAGUGUGUCAGAGGGAGGUGGAAUUCCGCGUGUAGCAGUGAAAUGCGUAGAUAUGCGGAGGAACACCGAUGGCGAAGGCAGCCUCCUGGGAUAACACUGACGCUCAUGCACGAAAGCGUGGGGAGCAAACAGGAUUAGAUACCCUGGUAGUCCACGCCCUAAACGAUGUCAACUAGCUGUUGGGGCCUUCGGGCCUUGGUAGCGCAGCUAACGCGUGAAGUUGACCGCCUGGGGAGUACGGUCGCAAGAUUAAAACUCAAAGGAAUUGACGGGGACCCGCACAAGCGGUGGAUGAUGUGGAUUAAUUCGAUGCAACGCGAAAAACCUUACCUACCCUUGACAUGUCUGGAAUUCCGAAGAGAUUUGGAAGUGCUCGCAAGAGAACUGAACAUCUGACCGCAU
This 676-nucleotide ribosomal RNA is filed under the name Achromobacter sp. Its description in RNAcentral is "bacterial SSU rRNA". It matches the Rfam family "Bacterial small subunit ribosomal RNA", at positions 377 to 1046 of the family's 1533-position model. The record is from RNAcentral. Lineage: Bacteria; Pseudomonadati; Pseudomonadota; Betaproteobacteria; Burkholderiales; Alcaligenaceae.